GCCAUGCAGGGAGCGUCCUGGACGCAGACCCGUCUGCGCAGGGCUGCGCAGCCUUGAGCAGCCUGACUGCGCAGGCAGACUGGGGCUCUGUCCACCCGGCUGCCGACCCUCAGCGCACAUUUCAGGAAUACGCGCUCCUGCUGCCAUGGGAACGGCGGACUUUCCCCCUGAGUGAAGAGGAUGAGGAGGCCCUGAAAGCUGAGGAGGACGCUGUGGCCUGCCUGCGGUCCGACAGCGAAUGCACGGACACCUGCUCCGAGCACAGCCUCUCCGGCCCUGACUGCGGCACCACGGCGCCCUCUGCUGGAGGCAGGAGGAGAGACACGCUAACGGCUAACAGCGGGAAUUAACCAACGUUUGCUAAGCCAGCUGAGAUUUCUCCACUGCACCACAUUCAGAGUACAGGGCCUUUCUGGAACAUGUGACCGAAGGGGAGAAGCCAUCAUCCUGUGAUCCCUGAAUGCAAACACACAUUCGCAGGAAGUGACAUCACACCCACCAUAGAUAUGUGUGGUCUACAUCCCACCCCGAUAACUCCUUUUUAUGUGUUGCGUGAGACAGACAAUGACAUCAGUUUUUAUCAUCUUUUCCACAGCCCCAAUCUUUCUGUUCCCUCCAAAAAAGAUUCUUAAAAUGAACUGUCGUGUUCUGCGCUCAUAUGCAUGUUCAGUGUCUCAUUCUGCAGAAGAGACUGGCCUUUUUGGUUGUUAUAUAAUCUAUGGAUUAGCAGUUUGUCAGUCCUCUGAAAUGUUUGAGAACCUAUUUUUAUUGUGACAACAGUGUAUAUAGUUCAUCUGUUACAUUUUUUUUUUACAUUUUGCCUGCCAUUUUUUUAAACCUACAAAGACAUUGUACUUAAUUAUUAUAAGUAUUUUGACUUAUUUUUAUUUUUUUACUUUCAAAUUAUUUUCAAUCACCAUUUCCUUUCAGUCAGAAUGGACAUACAGUUGAUUACAUGAUAUACAUGCCACUCCUUUAGCAUGAACCAUCCAUUUUGACAUUUUGUGAAGUUUUCACAUAAAGGUACACUAUAUUGGUCAUUUUGGCCAACUGGGUAGCAUUGUAAUGUAUAUUACAUCAUUAAAAAUGUACACAUUGA
This is a long non-coding RNA of Conger conger (European conger), 1099 nucleotides long. RefSeq lists it as uncharacterized. The record is from RefSeq and is a predicted model, not a curated record. Lineage: Eukaryota; Metazoa; Chordata; Actinopteri; Anguilliformes; Congridae. The transcript is spliced from 3 exons.